GGAAGUAAAAGUCGUAAUAAGGUUUCCGUAGGUUAACCUGCGGAAGGAUCAUUAUUGUAUAACCGAGGCGCGAGGGCUGUCGCUGACCCGAAAGGUCGUGCACGCCCGAGUGCCCUCACACACAUCCAUCUCACCCCUAUGUGCACCACCGCGUGGGUCCCCCUUUGGCUUGUUCGGAGGGGGGCUUACGUUUUCACACAAACUUUGUAUGCAGUGUAGAAUGUAUUUUUUGUUUUUGCGAUCACGCAAUCAAUACAACUUUCAACAACGGAUCUCUUGGCUCUC
RNAcentral lists this unclassified non-coding RNA (285 nucleotides) under plant metagenome. RNAcentral's name for it is "partial contains small subunit ribosomal RNA, internal transcribed spacer 1, and 5.8S ribosomal RNA". The stretch from base 1 to 54 matches the Rfam family "Eukaryotic small subunit ribosomal RNA", at positions 1778 to 1831 of the family's 1831-position model. The record is from RNAcentral.